CCCAGGUGCGCCUAUACAGGAAUGAAGAGGCGAGGCUGAAGUCUACUGCAGAAGCGGAUAAUGUGGCAAAGCAGGACAAACCAAAAGAUAAGCAAUGGCCAGAUCUCAAGACGGUAGAGAGUGCUGCGAGGAAGUUGGGGCACUAGCUGUGGAGAGCCUGCCUUGUAAUCACGUUUGGCCAGUAUGCCGGCAAAACAUUCAAGUGGUUACUUGAAAAUGAUGUUGGCUGGGUGGUGUGGCUGCUUAACGCAUUUCACUGGGAGGGAGAGAAGUGCCCCCAUCUAAAAUGGCAGAAGGAACGGCUUCUAGAGUGGGUCAGAGAAUUUCCGAGUGUCAGCGUUCUUCUGGAGAAGCGAAUAAAGAAAGAGGAAGUCCAGAAAGAAAAAAUACCAGUUGUGGAGCCAGAGUAUGUUGAAGAUGCUGAACUGCUCUCAUUGGCAGAGGAUGUACUUCGUGACUGUGAGGUUGCAGUGUCAUGUUCAGUGACAACAGUUGGAAAGCUGAUACCUUCGUCACCCACAUCACCUGAAGACGUGCCCUCAACAUCGACAUCUGCAGAGUGCUCCACAGUACAGGAAGGGUAGCAACAAUAUUGGGAUGAGCCUCCACCACAGGUGCAGGGUAUGUUUCGGCCAAAUGUCCCCUGGCUGAAGAGCGAUGGGCCUUACGGCAUCUUUGAACGAGCAACUGCGGUUCGCAAGAUAUUUAAGAAGAAGAUGACAUUUAAUCCCCCUCCUCUCCCUACGAUAGUCAGAGGAACGCUGCCGUCCAUGCUAUCUUUUUUUACAACCCCCGUCUUCUUCUGGAGGCCAGUUGGAGUGAUGGAAGCCAAGAUCAGAUGUCCCAAUCCUAACUGCCCUGCUCCACAAGGU
This is a long non-coding RNA of Strongylocentrotus purpuratus (purple sea urchin), 872 nucleotides long. RefSeq lists it as uncharacterized. The record is from RefSeq and is a predicted model, not a curated record. NCBI's taxonomy places the organism in Eukaryota, Metazoa, Echinodermata, Echinoidea, Camarodonta, Strongylocentrotidae. The transcript is spliced from 3 exons.